GGAGGGUAGGGUAUAGCUCAGUGGUAGAGUGCAUGCCUAUCAUACAUGAGGUCCUGGGUUCAAUCCCCAGUACCUCCA
This is a non-coding RNA of Camelus dromedarius (Arabian camel), 78 nucleotides long. The record is from the annotation of a RefSeq genome assembly. Lineage: Eukaryota; Metazoa; Chordata; Mammalia; Artiodactyla; Camelidae.